ACUCCCAGGAGUGGUUAUUCACUCCAGUAAUAUGCUUGGCAUUGCACUUUAUGGGGGGGUAGAAAGUUGCUUGCACACAAACUCAAGUAUGAAGCUUUGUACGAUCUUGGAGGAAGGUUGGUCCCAAUGUGAAAGUGCACGGCUUUUUGUUCAGCGCUAUCUUCUUCCAAUUUUCUGUGUUUGGCAGUUUUUCAUCGUGGUUGAAGAGUCAUCCAGUUUCGAGCCCAAGCUAAUAUUUAUUUCAGUAUCCUUGUGGAGAAUAUUAUGCAGGAUUGAGGAUGCUUCAUCGAAUGAUUGAUUUGUUGAGGAUGCUUCAUCAAAUGAUUGAUUCGAUUCAUUCUAUAGCAUGUAAAAUAUUGACCAUUUUGGAGGAAUUAUAAGGUGCUGAUGCAUCAGGACGUGUAUGCUAUCAUGAGGCGUCAAUCCAUACAAGUGGAGCACAUGGUUCGUCGAUUGAUAUUGAGGACUGUUGAUCUGAUGGGUCAAAUCUGGAUGGGGGCACCCCAAAAAAUCUUCCAUACUGGAAGACCCUACCCAUUCAAUCCCGGCCUUAAUUUUUUAAUUUUUUUUCCCAGGCCAUUGUUGUGUUGACUCUUUUCUCUGUAAUCCACGGAUCAAAGGAGUUUGGAUUUUCCAUUCUGGAUGUGCGUUCCACAUGGAUUAUGCGGCCAAUAAGAUUACCGUUCUGCAUUAAUGAAGAGCAUUUUCUUGGGUUUGAUCACGUAUCUUAUUACAUUGGAGUUUGCUUUUACUUGAUGGUCUUUCGAUGAUGCUGAAGGGCAACCCAUCCAAUGCUUCCAACUUCAAGUCAGAUCAGAGGUGGUUUCUUGUAACGAGGAAAGCCCGAUGCUGAAUCUGCUGGUGCUCAUGUGUGCCCGAUGUUUGCCAAGAGCUACUGCACUACUAGUAUCUCCCACCAUCCAUAAAUGAAGGCCAGGAAUCUUGAUGCACAUCUGAAAAUAAUUAUUCGAAUAUUCAAAUCUUGAAACGCACUAGAUUCCUGCCAACGAUAUCUACUAAAGUGGCUACCUUGUCUUUAACAGCUGAAAAGGAUGAGGCAUUCCUACAACCCUGAUGUGUGUUUUCCUGACCGUAUAUAUUCUUUAGGAAAUUAGAAACAUUUUUUAUUUUAUUUUUUCAGCAGCCAAUGGAGGCCAUGGCCCUCUUUGGAUUGCCCAAAAUGGGCCUAUAAAGUACUUGAAAAACCA
Magnolia sinica is the source of this 1208-nucleotide long non-coding RNA. RefSeq lists it as uncharacterized. The record is from RefSeq and is a predicted model, not a curated record. NCBI's taxonomy places the organism in Eukaryota, Viridiplantae, Streptophyta, Magnoliopsida, Magnoliales, Magnoliaceae. The transcript is spliced from 3 exons.